This 148-nucleotide non-coding RNA is filed under the name Homo sapiens (human). The record is from Rfam by way of RNAcentral. Lineage: Eukaryota; Metazoa; Chordata; Mammalia; Primates; Hominidae.
GCCAGGCGUGGUGGCGUGCACCUGUAGUCCCAGCUACUUGGGAGGCUGAGGCAGGAGAAUCGCUUGAACCUGGGAGGCUGAGGUUGCAGUGAGCCAAGAUCAUGCCACUGCACUCCAGCCUGGGUGACAGAGCGAGACUCCGUCUCAA